GACAGAGGGUGCAAACGUUGCUCGGAAUCACUGGGCGUAAAGAGCGCGCAGGCGGCCGAGUAAGUCGAAUGUGAAAGCCCCCGGCUCAACUGGGGAAGGUCAUUCGAUACUGUUCGGCUCGAAGAUAGGAGAGGGAAGCGGAAUUUCAGGUGUAGUGGUGAAAUGCGUAGAUAUCUGAAGGAACACCAGUGGCGAAGGCGGCUUUCUGGCCUAUUCUUGACGCUGAGGCGCGAAAGCUAGGGGAGCGAACGGG
This 253-nucleotide ribosomal RNA is filed under the name uncultured bacterium. RNAcentral describes it as "partial 16S ribosomal RNA". It matches the Rfam family "Bacterial small subunit ribosomal RNA", at positions 524 to 776 of the family's 1533-position model. The record is from RNAcentral.